Molecule: long non-coding RNA, 487 nt
Organism: Macrobrachium nipponense
Lineage: Eukaryota; Metazoa; Arthropoda; Malacostraca; Decapoda; Palaemonidae
Exons: 4
Source: RefSeq, a predicted model, not a curated record
CCGGUGACCAUAGAGAGAGGACUCGGAGUUGAGCGCGACGGUCUUUUUAUUUUGCUCACAUCUACGCAGUGCGGUAACGAUGAAGAAGACUUAUUACCUUUUCCCAGCGGUGGUACUUGUCACUGCUUGUUCGUGGGGCUCAUUCUCAAACGCUGCGAGAGAGAAGAGGUACCUGUUCGUCAACCCAAACGCCCCUAUACUUCUUGGUUUCCUCCUCAACAUGCCCGUAUCUUUGGCCAUUCCGACAAUAGCUCCCGCUAAAGGGAGGUCUCUCAGCGUUCAGAAUACCAUUUACGAGGAUGGGGAGAUCCCAGAGGCGCUCUACUGGGACCCCGCGUACGAGGAACAACUGGAAAAGCUCAUCGUCUACUUCGCGCAUUUAGAGCUGUACUCGAUGGGUUGUCAAGAACGACUGUUAUGUGAACUGGCUUCAGAGCCACAAACCUUUUCACCGAUUGCGGAGGUUUUCUUGAAAGAACUCAGGUAA